RNAcentral lists this RNase P RNA (413 nucleotides) under Extensimonas vulgaris. RNAcentral describes it as "Comamonadaceae bacterium S4 Bacterial RNase P class A". It matches the Rfam family "Bacterial RNase P class A". From Rfam's summary of the family: Ribonuclease P (RNase P) is a ubiquitous endoribonuclease, found in archaea, bacteria and eukarya as well as chloroplasts and mitochondria. The record is from Rfam by way of RNAcentral. Lineage: Bacteria; Pseudomonadati; Pseudomonadota; Betaproteobacteria; Burkholderiales; Comamonadaceae.
GAAGCACGCCAGACCGCCGCUGGUGCAAGCUGGGAAACCAGGCACUGGAGGAAGGUCCGGACUGCACAGGACGGCGUAGCAGCUAACGGCUGUCCACCGUGAGGUGAGGAUCAGAGCAACAGAGACGAGUCUGGGCGACUGGGCAUUCCGGGGUGUUCUGCGACGUGUCAGCGCAAGCUGGCGCGUCGCAGCCGCCUUGGGUGCACAGCACCCAGGGUGAAACGGGCAAUCUCUACGCGCAGCAAUACCAAGUAGGCCAGCCUGAAGCCCUCGUGGCUUCGCCCUGUGGUUCCGCAGGGAGCGCUGGCGGGUAGGUAGCACCGAGCCGUGGUGGCGACACCCGGCCCAGAUUAAUGGCGGUCAGCUUCGGGCGACCGAAGCCACAGAAUCCGGCCUAUCGGCGUGCUUCACUU